Vicia villosa (hairy vetch) is the source of this 1998-nucleotide long non-coding RNA. RefSeq lists it as uncharacterized. The transcript has 3 exons. The record is from RefSeq and is a predicted model, not a curated record. NCBI's taxonomy places the organism in Eukaryota, Viridiplantae, Streptophyta, Magnoliopsida, Fabales, Fabaceae.
GGAAUUCGGUACGUGCGUUUUUUUCAAGUGAACUUCAGUUUCAAUCUUCUUCAUCUCUCUUCUUCUAUUGUGUUGUGUGAUUGUUGUUCAAUUAUGAUUUAUUAAGGAAUUCGUCAUUUCGUAACAUGCACACCAAAUGUUCGGUGAAAUGCCUGAACUGAGUUCUUUCUCUUUUUUGUUUGAUUACUGCGGAAUUGUUGUUGUGUUGAUAUUCAUUGUUGUAACAGGUUGUGGUUGGCGAAUUGAUGGAGAAUUGUUGUCCUGAUAUUCAUUGUUGUAUACAUGAUUUUUUAUUUAACAGGACUUCAGUAUCAUCGGAGGAUUCGCUUCCCGACACUUCGUGUUUGACCCAACAUUCUAUGGCCUCGUAGUUAACUAUUUAACUAUUGUGGGAGCUACUCGAGCAUAAUUUUCUUAAUUCCUCAUACUAGCUUGUGAUAUUAAGAUUCACAUGAUUAUUUGUUUCUACAGAACAAUGAAAUUUGUGAAUAUAUUUUAUCCGGAGUUUAUCUGAAUUCCACGAACAUUUCCAUUUUCCAUAAUUCAUCAUUAUAGGAAAAAAAUAAAAGUUUGAUUUUUUUCCAUGUUCAACUUUUAAAAUCAAUUUUGUAAAAUAAAAAAUAAUUAUAUUCUAUAUUUUCGAAUUCAUUCAUUUUCAUUUUCAUUCAUCUGCGAGAUUCGUCCUCAGUAUAAAAUGUGACUGUUGAUACUCUCAUUUCUCAACCAAAAGGUACCUUCUCUUUCAACCUCAACCUGAACCGGUGUAUUGUAUAUUAUUUAAGUUUUUCAGUUUUUUCUAUAAAGUCAUUAUUCUAACUACAUUCAUUCAUCUCUUUCUUUUGAGUACAAAUUCUAAGCACAUUCAUCAUAAUACAUUAAAUUCCAAUCUACAUUAAAUUUACUAAUCAAUUUCAUUUGACAGUUUCUACAUGUGUGUUUUGUAUAUGCAUUAAUAUAUAUACUUGUCGUAGAUUAGAGCUCUUCACCACCCAACACAAUAUACUAAAUUACAAUGUAUAUGUUUGUUCCAUUUUCACAAUCUUCGGUUGGUUGGAAUUUUUAACUUUUCUGCAUUUAUUUGCAGUUUUUUCUGUUUGAAUUAAUGCUUUUGAGAAAAGGGUACCUUUCAAAACUUAUUAUACUUGUUUGUUUCUCAUUGCAGUUAUUGUCUUUGGGUGCAUGAAUUUCUGAACCCAUUUGACACAGUUACUGAUUCAACAUUGCUAACGUGUGGACUGGAUUGAUUCCCCCUUGGAUCCCGGGCAUUGGUGUGUGCUGACUUCAUUAAGCUUAUUUGAUUUUUUUUCAUAGAUGGGGCAUUCUACAGCUGUGUGGGACUUUAGAGCAGCAACUGAAGUUACAAAGGACUAGAAUGGAAUUGAUCAAGUGGUACUUCGAACGCCAUAAGGGGCUUCAGCACGGGACUUCUGUAUCAUCGGACGAUUCGCUUCCCGACACUUCGUGUUUGACCCAACAUUCUAUGGCCUCGUAGUUAACUAUUGUGGGAGCUACUCGAGCAUAAUUUUCUUAAUUCCUCAUACUAGCUUGUGAUAUUAAGAUUCACAUGAUUAUUUGUUUCUACAGAACAAUGAAAUUUGUGAAUAUAUGGUAAGAAACUUUAUUUUCUUAAUUCCUCAUACUAGCUUGUGAUAUUAAGAUUCACAUGAUUAUUUUUUUCCCAAACCACAGGAGAGUCCAGUUCCACCACAAACUCUGGAUAAAAUAUAUGGUAAGAAUUUCUUUCCUCUUAUCUUACUUUUUCAUAAUUGCUUUAAUGGAAACAUAGAGUUUAAAACAUGGACUUAAGCCAUCUAAUAGCACUUACUAAAGAAUUUCUCAUUGAGGUUUUAUAUCUCAUUAUUUAAGUUUAUUGUUACUGUCAACUAAUAUGAAAAACUCAAGUGAGGAUUUAUCCAAGCAAAAAUAGCUUCUUCUUAGUUGCCUUUUUGAAAUUUGUAACUCUUAGUGGAUUUCAAAUAGUUGAAGAGAGCUAUAACC